CUUUUUUAAAAAAAUGAGUUAAAAUCUUUUAAAAAAAUAAAAUAAAAAAUAAAUGCUAAAUAUACAUGAAGAUGUGAAAAACAUGUUGGAUUUGUGGAAUCGCUAAUGACCACGGUUAAAUGGCGGGAUCCAAAAUCUGGUUAGAUUUCACAAUGUCAUAUUAAUUUAAUAUUUAUAAAAA
RNAcentral lists this small RNA (181 nucleotides) under Arabidopsis thaliana (thale cress). RNAcentral describes it as "ATSL001210". The record is from RNAcentral. Lineage: Eukaryota; Viridiplantae; Streptophyta; Magnoliopsida; Brassicales; Brassicaceae.